UGAACGCUGGCGGCGUGCCUCAUACAUGCAAGUCGAGCGAACAGACGCGGAGCUUGCUCCUCUGACGUUAGCGGCGGACGGGUGAGUAACACGUGGAUAACCUACCUAUAAGACUGGGAUAACUUCGGGAAACCGGAGCUAAUACCGGAUAAUAUAUUGAACCGCAUGGUUCAAUAGUGAAAGACGGUUUUGCUGUCACUUAUAGAUGGAUCCGCGCCGCAUUAGCUAGUUGGUAAGGUAACGGCUUACCAAGGCGACGAUGCGUAGCCGACCUGAGAGGGUGAUCGGCCACACUGGAACUGAGACACGGUCCAGACUCCUACGGGAGGCAGCAGUAGGGAAUCUUCCGCAAUGGGCGAAAGCCUGACGGAGCAACGCCGCGUGAGUGAUGAAGGUCUUCGGAUCGUAAAACUCUGUUAUUAGGGAAGAACAAAUGUGUAAGUAACUAUGCACGUCUUGACGGUACCUAAUCAGAAAGCCACGGCUAACUACGUG
This 495-nucleotide ribosomal RNA is filed under the name uncultured bacterium. RNAcentral describes it as "partial 16S ribosomal RNA". It matches the Rfam family "Bacterial small subunit ribosomal RNA", at positions 30 to 507 of the family's 1533-position model. The record is from RNAcentral.